Long non-coding RNA from Anopheles merus, 347 nucleotides. RefSeq lists it as uncharacterized. The transcript has 4 exons. The record is from RefSeq and is a predicted model, not a curated record. Lineage: Eukaryota; Metazoa; Arthropoda; Insecta; Diptera; Culicidae.
UGUCUUCAAAAACAUUGUCGCUGACACAAAGCACAACAAGUGUGCUUGUUUGCAAUGUGUUCCUGGUUUUUUGGGAUCGUAUCAUUAUUGCUAUCGAAAUCUGGUAACAUAUCUACCAUAGACUCCAGGCUGCUGAUGCUCGAGUCCAGAUUUUGAGAUGUUUCCGACGACACUAUGGCAGCAGUAGGGUAUAACAAACUGACCCACUGAUAUAUAGCACCAAAAUAACUACGAAAGACAGUAUUUAAAGUUUAAAAUCACUCCUACGCGUAUAUGAAAUUUUGCCGGUAUGAAAAUGUAAACAUCUCAUUUGACAGCUUCGAAUAAAGGCAGAGUUGACACACACA